UGUUUGAUGUUCUAACGUUGGCCCCUGAUCGGGGUUGCGGACAGUGUCUGGUGGGUAGUUUGACUGGGGCGGUCUCCUCCUAAAGAGUAACGGAGGAGCACGAAGGUUGGCUAAUCCUGGUCGGACAUCAGGAGGUUAGUGCAAUGGCAUAAGCCAGCUUGACUGCGAGCGUGACGGCGCGAGCAGGUGCGAAAGCAGGUCAUAGUGAUCCGGUGGUUCUGAAUGGAAGGGCCAUCGCUCAACGGAUAAAAGGUACUCCGGGGAUAACAGGCUGAUACCGCCCAAGAGUUCAUAUCGACGGCGGUGUUUGGCACCUCGAUGUCGGCUCAUCACAUCCUGGGGCUGAAGUAGGUCCCAAGGGUAUGGCUGUUCGCCAUUUAAAGUGGUACGCGAGCUGGGUUUAGAACGUCGUGAGACAGUUCGGUCCCUAUCUGCCGUGGGCGCUGGAGAACUGAGGGGGGCUGCUCCUAGUACGAGAGGACCGGAGUGGACGCAUCACUGGUGUUCGGGUUGUCAUGCCAAUGGCACUGCCCGGUAGCUAAAUGCGGAAGAGAUAAGUGCUGAAAGCAUCUAAGCACGAAACUUGCCCCGA
Molecule: ribosomal RNA, 592 nt
Filed under: Escherichia coli
Lineage: Bacteria; Pseudomonadati; Pseudomonadota; Gammaproteobacteria; Enterobacterales; Enterobacteriaceae
Also listed under: 2 other names
Description: bacterial LSU rRNA
Rfam family: Bacterial large subunit ribosomal RNA
Source: RNAcentral